Molecule: ribosomal RNA, 253 nt
Filed under: uncultured bacterium
Lineage: Bacteria
Description: partial 16S ribosomal RNA
Rfam family: Bacterial small subunit ribosomal RNA
Source: RNAcentral
UACGGAGGGUGCAAGCGUUGCUCGGAAUUACUGGGCGUAAAGCGCGUGUAGGCGGUCUCGUAUGUCUGGUGUGAAAUCCCCGGGCUCAACCCGGGAAGUGCACUGGAAACUGCGAGACUAGAGUCCCGGAGAGGAAGGUGGAAUUCCAGGUGUAGCGGUGAAAUGCGUAGAUAUCUGGAAGAACACCGGUGGCGAAGGCGGCCUUCUGGACGGUGACUGACGCUGAGACGCGAAAGCGUGGGGAGCAAACAGG